GACGAACGCUGGCGGCGUGCCUAAUACAUGCAAGUCGAGCGAUGAAGAUUGGUGCUUGCACUAAUUUGAAGAGCAGCGAACGGGCGGGUAACGCGUGGGGAAUCUGCCUUUGAGUGGGGGACAAAAUUUGGAAACGAAUGCUAAUACCGCAUAAUAACUUUCAACAUAAGUUUUAAGUUUGAAAGAUGUAAUUGCAUCAUUCAAAGAUGAUCCCGCGUUGUAUUAGUUAGUUGGUGAGGUAAAGGCUCACCAAGGCGAGGAUACGUAGCCGACCUGAGAGGCUGAGCGGCCAGAUUGGGACUGAGACACGGCCCAAACUCCUACAGGAGGCAGCAGUAGUGAAUCGUCGGCAAGGGGCGAAAGUCUGACCGAGCAACGCCGCAUGAGUGAAGAAGGUUUUCGGAUCGUAAAACUCUGUUGGUGGAGAAGAACGUUGGUGAGAGUGGGAAGCACAUCAAGUGACGGUAACUACCCAGGAAGAGACGGCUAACUACGUG
Molecule: ribosomal RNA, 497 nt
Filed under: uncultured bacterium
Lineage: Bacteria
Description: partial 16S ribosomal RNA
Rfam family: Bacterial small subunit ribosomal RNA
Source: RNAcentral